UCAUUCAUAAUUUGUAUUCUGUCUACGGCCAUUCUCGUCCGAUCACCGAAGUUAAGCAACGUCGGGCCCGGUCAGUACUUGGGAGGGUGACCACCUGGGAAUACCGGGUGCCGUAGGCU
Molecule: non-coding RNA, 119 nt
Organism: Cordylochernes scorpioides
Lineage: Eukaryota; Metazoa; Arthropoda; Arachnida; Pseudoscorpiones; Chernetidae
Source: the annotation of a GenBank genome assembly